CUUUUGUUUCUGUAUUUAUUAUUUUGAUUGUCUUUUUAAACCUUUUUCUCAUUGGUCCAUCAUUUUCUGCAGAUGAGUUAUAAUUUCCCAUUAUACUUGUGGAUAGGUCAGUAUUUCAUCAUCAUUGUACCCACUUUUGCCUUGUUUAUGCUGAGGUUAGGUUAUGUUGUUAUAUCUACGCAGGUCCAUGACUGAGUGAAACGCUUUUGGUCAUAUGACAAAGCACUUCACUCAGUCAUGAGACAAAGCUCUCUUUGUCCUUGUUAAUGCUUUUCAAAUGUGAUUUGGGGGAAUACAGAUAUUCCAACCACAUUUGGGGAGGUGGGUAGUAUUUCCCCCAUAUUUUUUCCAUCCCUCCAUUUCAAACAAAAUUUUUAGUCUUGAUGUAUCUCUCAUCAAUAGUAUGUUGUUGGCUUUUAUGGAGAUUUUAAAAGCAUAAUGUAUCUCCUUUUGAAUAGCAGGGAGGAAACAGGUGCUCCACCACAAUGGGAGUUUUGAGAGAGCCCAUGUAUGCAGCUCUGUGAGCAGCAGGGAAGGACGAUUACCCAGAGAUGCAGACACACCCAUGAGAAGGGCUAGGACCGACCACACCCAGUGUGGGCAAGGAUGUGGAGAAACGAGAACCAUCGACCUGCCAGUGGAAAUGUAAGCUGGAAAAGGUGCUUUGUAAAAUCAUUUCUCAUGAUCUAUUAGAGGGAAGGAUGCAUGCCCUAUGGCUCUGCAAUUCCGCUUCUAGGGGAAAGAAAACCACAGAACGGGGGCACGUGUCCACCGAGAGACAGGCACGCAGAUAUUCAGAGGGGCAUUGUUUAUAACGCCCCCAAACUGGACACAAUCCAAAUGUCCAGCAGGAGUAGAAGGGACAAAUUGCAAUCUAUCCAUGUCAUGGAAAACUUUACAGCAAUGGAAAAGAAGAAACCAUGCUUAAUACCACACAGAUACUCCCACAAACAGAAAGUUGAAGCCAGGCGUGGUGGCUCACACCUGUAAUCCCAGCACUUUGGGAGGCCGAAGCGGGCGGAUCACGAGGUCAGGAGAUGGAGACCAUCCCGGCUAACAUGGUGAAACC
This 1069-nucleotide long non-coding RNA is filed under the name Homo sapiens (human). RNAcentral describes it as "HSALNT0278960". Lineage: Eukaryota; Metazoa; Chordata; Mammalia; Primates; Hominidae. The record is from RNAcentral.